Ribosomal RNA from Musa acuminata AAA Group (dessert banana), 156 nucleotides. RefSeq annotates it as 5.8S ribosomal RNA. The transcript has a single exon. NCBI's taxonomy places the organism in Eukaryota, Viridiplantae, Streptophyta, Magnoliopsida, Zingiberales, Musaceae. The record is from RefSeq and is a predicted model, not a curated record.
GACUCUCAGCAAUGGAUAUCUCGGCUCUCACAUCGAUGAAGAACGUAGCGAAAUGCGAUACCUCGUGUGAAUUGUAAAAUCCCGUGAACCAUCGAGUCUUUGAACGCAAGUUACGCCCGAGGCCAUCCGGCUAAGGGCAUGCCUACCUAGGCAUCA